RNAcentral lists this long non-coding RNA (1527 nucleotides) under Ursus maritimus (polar bear). Its description in RNAcentral is "lncRNA (ENSUMAG00000008544.1)". The record is from RNAcentral. Lineage: Eukaryota; Metazoa; Chordata; Mammalia; Carnivora; Ursidae.
CCCGAGUCUAGCUCCCUGCUCAACGGGGAGCCUGCUUCUCCCUCUCCUGCUAUGGCUCCCCCUGCUUGUGUGCUCUCUCUCUCUGUCAAAUAAAUAAAUAAAAUCUUAAAACAAAAACAAAAACAAAAACCCUCUGAAGAGAGUAGGAGAGCAGAGAGUCCUGACUUCACCAAGAUGGGUGUUUGCUUCUUUUCUACAGCUCCCGCUCUCCCUCAACUUCCUCACUGGCUGUGUGACGGCUCCUCGUGCAGAUGCCAGGCUGUAGCCAACUGGGCAGCGGGAGCUUGGAGCCCGGCCUUGGAUUUCCGGGCUUCCGAUCAUUUCUUGUAAGUGAGGCCCCCUGCCAGUGGCUGCCAGGCUGGACACCCAUGGCAGGAUCAUCCACCAGAGUGAAACAAAGCCCUUUCUGCCUUCUCUGCUGGCCAAGGAGCCUUGAGGCUGAAAUGAGGUCUCCCCACAUUGGUGCCGGACUGAACCACUGCCUUUGGGCCUUUUUUGGCUCUCCUGCGGCACCAAAGUGGCUCUGAAGAAUCACAAGCUUGUAGGCCGGCCAGCUCCAUGAGCGCUUCUCUCCAAGAAGCCGCAGUCUGAGCCAGAGGGCUCCCUCAAGCAAGGCUGCUGUUAAAGUAAAAGCCUCUGCUUGCCCAAUGAUACACAUAGAUACCCCCGCCUGCCGAGGACGAUAGAGCUUCCGAAGACUCCGGUGGAACAACUUGGCAGGUAGCGUCUCAGCCAGAAGAAGGCAGCACAGUCACAUCACAUUCCUGCCAAAGCCCAGGGCCCAGUCUAACCAUGAGAAGAUCACACAAGCCAGGUGGAGGGGCUUUCGGGGAAGACUGAGGAACGGUCACAAGGGACACUGGGUUGCUGGGACAGGAGGGGCGUGAGCGGAAGAAGUGAAUGACAUCUGGAGCUUAGGGUAACAGUGUUGUGCUGAUGUUGAGUCUCGGUUUCGAGAAACGCUCCAGGGUUAUACAUAUAUGAUUUUCACAUUAAGGUAAGCUGUGCAAAGGCUAUUUGGAAACUCUCUGUAAAUCUGAAAUUAUUCCAAAACAAAAAGUAAAAAAAGAAAAAGCCUUUGUCAGUUUGCUUCAGCCUGGACCGGCUUCCACCACACCAGUCCGUGUAGUCUGGUUUUCCCUGUCUCUGUCCACCGCCUCACCCCUGCCCCUCCUGUCCUGCCCUGCUCUCAGGUGCCUCUCCAGAUUCCCACACAAGAGCUGUGGGCCCAGGCGCUGGGUGUCUAGGAGGGGCUUCGGACAAGGUAGGGAGCAGUAUGCAUGAACUUCCUCACAAGAGGGGACCUUGGGAAUCUCAGCCCAGGUCAGCACCCAGGUCACCCCAGCUAUAGACAAUCAGCCUCUGGAAACUUCCACCUGAAGUUCUGUGCCUUCAUCAAUCAGCCUCAUCAGUAAAUUGUCUGCAUCGAGGCUCAGACAGUGGCUCUAUUCCAUCUGCAGAAGACACAGCUGGAGAUGAGGCCCUCCCACAGUCUAAGAGCAGAUGCAGACAGAGCACUAGGCAUGU